Molecule: long non-coding RNA, 1116 nt
Organism: Gadus morhua (Atlantic cod)
Lineage: Eukaryota; Metazoa; Chordata; Actinopteri; Gadiformes; Gadidae
Exons: 4
Source: RefSeq, a predicted model, not a curated record
GGAGGCCUUGAAAGGAGCCCACAAGGAGGAGAUGGAGAGAGCGGGAAAGGCCAGGCAACCAGCCACAACAGGAGGUGCAUUAGUCAUCAGAGGACAGGUGUAAGUCUACCAUACAAACAACCCCAACCAUAACCCUGUAUUCUGUCAUCAAGGCCUCUGAUGUGUCCCACAAGGCUGAUUACUGUAUAUGUAUCUGUUUGUAAGCAUACUUGUGUGUCGGUGUUUGUGUGCAUGUGUGUGCCUGCGUGUAUGUGUGAAUGCGUGCACGCUUGUGUACGUGCAUGUAUGCGUGGGUGCAUUGGUGUUUGCAGGCCUGAGACGUUACGAUCAGAGAUGGACGUGCUGUCUGCGUGUUACUCUGAAAGGUGCUCUGAGCUGAGCCGCACGGAGUACCACACCAAGGACCGAACGACAGAGCUCUGCUGCAGAGAGAGAGAGACAGAGAACCUCCGCAGGGAGAACCAGGAACUUAAGACCAAGCUUGCCGAGGAGAUCAGUCGCAUGCGUUGUUUCAUCACAGGUCAAAGUUCAGGGGUCAUAUCCCCUGGUCACACAGAUCAGGGGUCAUCCAAUGUAGAGAUUAUGUUAAGAAAGAAGACAAGUGAGGUGGAAUAUCUCCAGAAGCAAGUGAGAUGUCUACAGAAUGAAGUGCAGGCCCUUACCAAGGAGAAUGAGGGAGCCUAAUGGACCGCGACAUGGAGGGCUACGUUGAACUGAGUAAGAUGAAGAGCCACAGCCAAUAAAAGAUGUGCUCCAUCAAAGAACACCCGAGACUGGCCAAUACUACGCUUCAGGAGGGGGACAAGAGGCCGCUGAUUGGUGGGAACAACUAGUCCCUGGCCCUUUAAGAGUGACAUCAAUACUAUGCAGAGAAGGGAAGGAAGUGUGAUGCAGUGUUACCGUUACUAUUGGCCGACAUGGACUCAGAAUCAUGUGUACCAUUGCAUUUGGAAAAUCAGUUUUGUUACGAGUGUUACUGUAAAGAUGUAAAAAACAAACAGUUAUACCAAAAGAUGAGUUACUUUUUACUCUGUUUAUUGAGUUGCAAGACACACCGACAUGCAGACAGGAGUGAGGACUAAUAGACAGAUCGCCUUUGUAGUCUCACAUGAUUAU